Molecule: non-coding RNA, 29 nt
Filed under: Mus musculus (house mouse)
Lineage: Eukaryota; Metazoa; Chordata; Mammalia; Rodentia; Muridae
Source: RNAcentral
UGGGUCAUUGUUUUUUUUACAAGUAUUGG